Molecule: ribosomal RNA, 253 nt
Filed under: uncultured bacterium
Lineage: Bacteria
Description: partial 16S ribosomal RNA
Rfam family: Bacterial small subunit ribosomal RNA
Source: RNAcentral
UACGUAGGGGGCAAGCGUUGUCCGGAAUCAUUGGGCGUAAAGAGCGCGUAGGCGGCCCUGUAAGUCCGCUGUGAAAGUCAAGGGCUCAACCCUGGAAUGCCGGUGGAAACUGUCAAGCUUGAGUCCGGAAGAGGCGAGUGGAAUUCCUGGUGUAGCGGUGAAAUGCGCAGAUAUCUGGAGGAACACCGGUGGCGAAGGCGGCGUUCUGGACUGUAACUGACACUGAGAAACGAAAGCCAGGGUAGCAAACGGG